This 12746-nucleotide long non-coding RNA is filed under the name Olea europaea (common olive). RNAcentral describes it as "long non-coding RNA (OEUR_LNC014774)". Lineage: Eukaryota; Viridiplantae; Streptophyta; Magnoliopsida; Lamiales; Oleaceae. The record is from RNAcentral.
AAAUACGAAGCAAAUGAAUAGAAUGUUUUGUACAAGGAAAGAAUCACUACUAUUAAGUUAAUAAUUUUACAGACAACCAGUCAUGAUUAUGCUCGUCUUCUUGUGCAAAUCAUGGUCUUUAAGGAAUCCAACAUACAGGUUUGUCCUGCUCGUGUCACUCUCGGGAAGUGUCGCGUUUCGACCACCUUCUAACAUGUUCUUCACAAAUUCAUCGAACUUGCGACAAUUCUCAGCUUCGAGCAAUCGUUUAUUCAUUCUUAGAUACGUAAAUGCAGCGAGUCCAUUUCCAGAAUCUGAAUGGCUAGUUCCCAACAUCUGUGAAUAUGCGCCAGAAUCAUACCUCUCCAGAGCAUUUUCUCCAGCAAGUUGUGUUCCAACAGAUUUGGUAGCCAUCUUCACUUGUCAAACUAGACCUUCAGGCGAGCAAUUUGCCCUCUCUGGAUGUUCUUUGUCUCUCAUUUCCAUACACGUAAAAUUGAGCACCACUCCACAUUUACUUAACAUUCAUGCUAUUGCCGAAUAACCAUCUCGAUUCCUAGUAUUGUAGUAUCCAGCAAUUAAUUCAGCUGCAUGCGAUCUUGUUUUGUAGUGCCAAUGAAUUCCAGCUACUUUUCCUGAUAGUAUAGCUCUGGUUCCUUCGAAUAUUCUUUGUGCAGCUGACAGGAUUUUAUCUCCGUGCUCGACUAGCUUACCAGAAUACCAUUCUAAGAAAAAAUGUCCAUAUUCAGUGUUCCAUGUGCCUUCCCUUUGGAAAAACCGUUUCUUCCGGUAAUUGGUUGUAUUGGCCUGCGUCGUGAGGGCCUCCGAGUCCCCAGUCAGUGUUCCCAAUCGCCUCAGCCGCAGCUGCUAAUGAGGCUCUCAUGUACUGUUUUUACAUAACAAAUGUUCAACUUAAUUCAUGUUUGGUCGAUGAUGAACAAGAUUUUAGCUACUCAUUUUUGAUAAUUAUGUACCUUGUCGUAGCAUUGGAAUUCACCAAUUCUUGGAAAUCUCCAAGUGCCAUUGCUUUCUGGAUAGGAUGGAUAUCUUAGCUCUCCACAAGGCCCCAACCCCACUUGAAUUUCCUGAAAUAAUAGCAACCAACUUAAAACUACUACGAUAAUGAGCAUAAACUAUCCAAGAAUGUUAAAAAUGGCUUACCACUUGAAGUUGGUGAUAUUAACUUCCCAAGAUUGCCCAAGAACAAAUAAACUUACAAUGUGAAAAUUCCAAACCACUUGAAGAUGAAAAAGAAAAGAUAAGAAAAUUGGGGAAGAAAGGAUUUUCAAUAUAUAUGAGGAACAAUGGAUUGGAUUACUUGAACAAGUCUCAAGUUAAUCCCCAAGAAAGAAAAAAUAGCUUUGAAUUUAUACCCAAGAAGAACAACCUCUUUCUUGUUAUAUUCUCUACCAAGCUUUCUCUCCUAUUUUCUCUCUAAAAAUCGGAUGUCAUAAUGAAAGGUAAACUCAGCUAUAUAUAUAGCUGAAUCGGGUGCCUAGGCUCCAAGUUUCUGCCCAGUCGAGAAACUGGGCGCCUAAGCAACCAGUUUCUGCUUUAGCAAAAUCGGGGGGGCGCCUAGGCGCCUCCUUGCUACUUCAUUUCUUACAAUUCUCCACCUCGUACAUCAUUUGAUGGACCUCAAAUUUUGGACGAACACAAGAAGAAGCAGCAAGCGCCAAACUCGGCUGCACCAUUCAAACCAUGGUUGCCUACGUACCCAAAACUCGGGAUCAAGUCUCCGUAGUUCACCUCCACCUUUAUAUACUCUUCACCUCAUUUCAACCCCGCCCUGAAGGGCCAUACCCACUCGGGCAUAUCAGCACGGACUAAUGUGAAGCAAGUCCAAGCAAUGCUGAAACUUGCUACCCGUUACCACUUUGGUUAACAUGUCUGUUAGGUUCUUAUUUGUGUGUACCUUCAAGAGAGAAAUAUCACCUUCCUCUAUGACAUCAAGCACAAAAUGAUACCUGACGUCGAUAUGCUUGGUUCGAGCAUGAUGAACCUGAUUUUUAGCCAAGUGAAUCGCACUCUGGCUAUCACAACACAAGUCCACACAAUCCUGCUCAAUCCCUAAAUCAUCUAGAAGACACCUCAACCACAAUGCUUCCUUCACUCCCUCUGCCAUGCCCAUAUACUCGGCCUCUGUAGUAGAAAGAGCCACUAUAGCCUGUAACAUCGAUCGCCAACUAACUGGGGCACCAUGUAUGCAAAACACAUAUCUAGUAGUAGAUCGUCGUCUAUCUAGAUCACCUGCAUAAUUCGAGUCUACAAACCCACUUAUAUGACAUGCAUCUCCACCAAAACAUAAACCCGUAUCGGCGGUACCUUUUAAAUACCUCAGGAUCCACUUCACAGCUUCCCAGUGUGCCUUCCCCGAAUUCGCCAUGAAUCUACUGACCAUACUAACCGCCUGUGAAAUAUCUGAGCGUGUACACACCAUGGCAUACAUCAAACUGCCAACUGCACUAGCAUAAGGUACACAAUCCAUGGGUACCUUUUCUUCCGGUAUAGUAGGAAAUUGUUUACCAGAGAGCCUGAAAUGUGGAGCCAAUGGAAUCACCACCAACUUUGCACCUUGCAACCCGAACCUAGUAAUAACCCGCUCAAUGUAGCCUUUCUGACUCAAGAACAUUCGUCGGUUCGCCCUCUCUCUUCUAAUCUCCAUACCCAGUAUUUUCCUAGCAGCCCCCAUAUCCUUAAUCUCAAACUCUUUACCAAGUUGAGAUUUCAACCUAUCUAUCUCCACCUUGCUUUUCGAAGUGAUAAGCAUGUCAUCCACAUACAAAAGAAGAUAGAUAUAGUUACCUCCCCGGAGUUUUCGAAUAUAAACACAACAGUUAUACUCAUUUCUGGAGGAACCAUGCUUUAGCAUGAAGGAGUCAAAUCGCUUGUACCACUGCCGAGGAAAUUGUUUCAAUCCAUAUAGUGAUUUUCUCAAGUGACAUACCUGACGUUCCUUAUCCUCAACCUUGUAGCCCUCAGGUUGAUGCAUAUAGAUUUCCUCAUCCAUGUCCCCGUGCAAGAAGGCGGUUUUGACAUCGAGUUGUUCCAGCUCAAGAUCAUGAUGAGCAACAAUACUCAAUAGCACUCGAAUGGAAGUGUGCUUGACCACCGGAGAAAAGAUCUCAUUGUAGUCAACUCCCUCUCUUUGUGCAAACCCCUUAGCCACUAACCUUGCUUUGAAUCUUGUACCACCGAGCUUGGUAGGAUCCUCUUUCUUUUUGUACAACACUUGCAACCAAUAGCUUUCUUACCUAUGGGCAAUGGGACAACCUCCCAUGUUUGGUUCUUGUGAAGUGAUUCCAUCUCUUCUUCCAUCGCUGCCAACCAACUCUCACUAUUGUUGUUUAAAAUAGCUUCCUUGAAAGUGGCAGGCUCAUUAUCCUCCACCGAGAGUACAUACUCAACCAAAUUUGUCUGCCCAUAGUGCCUCAAAGGCUCGUCUGACCCCAACUUUAGAACUUGCUUGUAAGUACGUCAUGGCCUAGAGGAAGUCAAGUUAUCUGCAAGCUGUUGUUGUUGCUGUGCCUGUACAUUCUCUUGCUGAACCGCCUCUUGUUCAAGCUCAUCAUCACUCUCAUCUUGAGUGUCUGCAUGAUGCUCCUCUUGAACAUGACUAGAACCAGGUUGAUCUCUAGGUUCUAUGUCAACAACUUGAGACUUUGUAGUCUCAACAUCAUCACCACCGGGCACUGUAGCUUUCAACGAAGCUAUCAAAAGUAACAUCUCUACUGAUUAUGAACUUAGAAUCCUCUACACACCAUAGAUGAUAGCCUUUUACACUUGCCGCAUACCUUAAGAAUAUAGCCUUCUUGGCCCUCGCAUCAAGCUUUUCCUCGUUGACGUGAUAGUAGGCUGUACAUCCGAAUAUUAUGAGUUUCUCAUAAUCUGCAUGUUGUCCUGUCAAUACCCUCUAAGGUACAUCUCCAUCUAACUUUGAAUAUGGAGAUCGGUUCACUAUGUAGCAAGCAUUUGCAACCGACUCUGCCCAUCACUCUGCCCAAACCAGCAUUGGAUCGCAUACACAUCGAUUUCUCUCGAAAUGUGCGAUUCGGUCUUUCUGGGACUCCAUUUUGUUGCAGUGUAUUUCUAACUGUCCAGUGUCUCGCAAUGCCUUCCUCAACACAGAACUCCUUGAAAGCACCAUCUGUAUACUCAGUACCGUUAUCAGAUCACAGUGUCUUCAAUUUCUUUCUUGUUCUGUUUUCAACCAUUGCUUUCCACUUCUUGAAAGUGUCGAAUAUGGUAAGAGCAUCCAGAGCCAAGAAUCCACUUACCGGAGAUUUCUUCAUCAUAAGUGAUGGUGUAGCACUCAUCGCUUUCCCCUCCUUCCGAGGCAUAGCUAACAUCUUGCUUGAUUUGCACCUUUCCGUUGUUGUUGUUCUUAUUGUUCUUCUUCCAACCUCUUUUGUUAGUACAAUUCGCCUUGAAAUGCCCAAGCUCGCCGCAUUUGAAACAAGGCCUUUCCGCAAGAGGUCUAGAACUCAAUCUAGAUUUUUCUCCCUUGCCUUUUGGUCGCACAUUGCUUCUACCUCUUACAAACAAUCCUUGAGCUUGCUCCUUGUUACCAAUGAUAGACAUGCCACUAGUUGCAAUCUUUCGAAGAUCGUCCGCUAGAAGUGACGUUCUAGUCUCCUCCAUCACAAGUUUAUCACCCACAAGCAUCAAUGUUUGUACUAGGUUCUCGUAAGACUUUGGCAACGAAAGAAGUAGUAGAAGUGCUUGAUCCUCAUCAUCUACUUUCACAUCAAUGUCCUUCAAGUCCGAUAUGCACCUAUCAAACUUGUUGACGUACUCCCGGAUUGGUGUACCUUCAUCCAUCUUGCAAGUAUACAAUUUGGAUUUCAAAUAGAUCCGAUUUGUUAGAGUCUUCGUCAUGAAAUUCGCCUCCAACUUUGUCCACACCUCCGUCGCUGUUUCCUCACCAUCAACAAGAAAGCAACAUCUCUUUCAAGGCAUAGAAUGAUAGAUGCUCGUGCCUCAAGAUCUAGAUCUUCCCAAUCCUUAUCAGACAUAUCUAUGUGCUUCUUCUCCUUUCCCGUCAAUGCCUUGUGCAACUUUUGAGAAAUUAACAAAUUUCUCAUUUGCAUUCUCCAAUAUGAGAAGUCAUUCUUCCCAUUGAAUUUCUCUAUCUCACACUUCCCAAUCUUCACCAUUCCUCUAGUAGACAUGAUUUAUCUACUUGUUUACCGAAAAUAGAACAACAAAGUUCACUUGGGAAUUUUCACAAACACCUUGUGUGCACAACAAAGUUCAAGCCACCCACCAAAAAUCGGAGCUUAACCACGCUGAUUUAAGAAGAUGCUCUGAUACCAAAUUGUUGGUAAAAUUAACUUCCCAAGAUUGCCCAAGAACAAAUAAACUUGCAAUGUGAAAAUCCCAAACCACUUGAAGAUGAAAAAGAAAAGAUAAGAAAAUUGGGGAAGAAAUGAUUUUCAAUAUAUAUGAGGAACAAUGGAUUAGAUUACUUGAACAAGUCUCAAGUUAAUCCCCAAGAAAGAAAAAAUAGCUUUGAAUUUAUACUCAAGAAGAACAACCUCUUUCUUGUUAUAUUCUCUACCAAGCUUUCUCUCUAAAAAUCGGAUGUCAUAAUGAAAGGAAAACUCAGCUAUAUAUAUAGCUGAAUCGGGGGCCUAGGCGCCAAGUUUCUGCCCAGUCCAGAAACUAGGCGCCGCGCCGACCUAGGCGCCUCCCUGCUACUCCAUUUCUCACAGUUCAUUUCUUCAAGCACCCAUGGAGGUAGAGGGAUGCUGCAAAAAUACAACAUAAACUAUAUAUUAAGUCACAAAAAUGGAUGUCACACUUAACAUUUCUAAAUAAUAUUAUGGUUUCUACUUUACCAAAAUCUACUAAAAAUCUGAAUUUUAUCUGAACCAGACGAGGACUAUAUAUACAUAUACAUAUACAUAUACAAGUAGAAGAGGGGAUUAUGCGUAAUUUAAGUGAAAAAAAUGGCAUUGCACUCUUUGCAUGGAGCUUGCACAACAACGGCUUAGUUUGAGAAAAACUUAAUAUAGUUGAAAACUCGUCACGAGUUUUUAAACCUCGAUUAUCUUUUAUAUUGAUAAACGAAAUUGAGGAGCGAAGUGCAAAAGCCAUGGUUUUGUGAAAGAAAAGGGAGAUUGGAUUGAUGAAUGAAGACUGCGAAAUUAUGCGUAUAUUUAUAAAAAUAAGUUCUACGUUGGAUUUAUAAAGUAGGCAAUUUCGGUGGGCUCUGCUCUUGUUUGAUAUUUUGUCAUAUUUUGAAGGAAAUUUUUAAAGAGGAAAGGUGCAAAAUAUCAAAAAACUUGGUAUUUUGAAGGAAAUUUCAUGUCAAUGUCUCAGAGGGGUGACGGAUUAACUACGUAAUGAUCCUAACUUCUCGAACAAUAAUGUAAAAUUAUUAAAAAAAUUAGUAAGAUUAUACGGGAGAAUUAAUGUUACAAGAUUAUACGCGGAACCAAUGUGAAUAAAAAAAUUUCAAAAUAUGGUCUCUAUCCUCUAAUGUUAGUAGUCGGUAAGAAAUUAGGUAAAAAAAAAUUCGAUACACGUAGCAUUCUCCUAAAAAAUUUAGAUUUAUGUGGAAGUGUCAAAAAUUCAGUUUAAAUAUUCACAUAAUCACGGGUUUUUGGCAUGACUUUGUACCAAUUAUUUGAUAUAAAUCGAUAUUUUUUGAACGUAAUGAUUUGUCAGAUUUUUUUUCCCGAAUUUCUAGAGUGGAUAAGGGAUUUUUCUUUUUCUUUUUUUUUUUUUGGCGUGGGGGGUUCAUGUUGGUUAUUUUUUUCUUGUAUAUAUUUACUUUUUAUAUUUAUUCUUUUUGCAUCUUUAAAUUAAACACUGAACUUUACACUUUAAAAUUCAUUUUUCCCAAAAAUUAUUUUCAACAUGUACUUCUAGUAUAAUAAUAUUGCAUUUAAAUUUAAUUUUUUUUUCAAUAUUUUAAUCACAUAUACUUAAAAAAAAAAUCACUUUUAACAAAAUCUAUUCUUAAAAAUUGAGCUCAAACUAGGCUUAAAAUACCUGUUUUGCCCCAUUAAAUUUGAAAAAUACAUUUUAAAAUAGUAGAUUGAAAAAGAAUGUGUAAUUAAAAAAAAUUUUGACUUUACGAGUAAUAUUAUUUUAUUGAGCAAUAUAUAAUUGAAAAAAAGAAAGAAAAAUGUAUUUCGAGAAACAAGCACUUAACAUCUACUUUGAAAACCGUCUAAAAGAACACUUUGAUGUAAAAAGUGAAAGUUGGGAAUGCAAAAAAGUUGAGAAUUGUAUGUAAUUUACCAUUUUAGUGGGCUGUUAAGUUUUUCAAAUUUUAAAGCCUAGAUAAAGGAUCACAUUUGGUGGUAAAACUUAAUCACAAGAAUAAUUUACCAAAUAAUUAUUUUAUUUUCAAAAUAAUCGACAUUACUCGAUGAUGCAUGAAUGACCUUCUAUAUCUUUCCACCUAUAUCAAAGAGAGAGGCCUCUGAUAUAGGCCCUGUAUCACAAGGGGCCGAGCCACCUAUCAGAGGGGCUAGCUCGGCCCCCUGUGAUAUAGGGCCCUCAAAGAGAAAUGUCCUUGGUAAUUGAAAAUAUCUAUAUCAAAACCUAUCUAUUUAAUUGAAAAUAUCUCAUUCAAUUUUUCUACGCGUCAACUUAAAAUUUUCAAAAUUUCUACGCGUCAACUUGGUGUACCACAAGUGGGCCGCUUUCCUUUGGCCACCAGUGGCGGAUCCAGCACCCGGCGAGCCCCCGGGGCCGCCCGUGUUGGAUCGCCGGAGCUCAAUUUUUUUUGCUGUCCAAGUAUUUAUUUGUUUAGAUAUAUUUCUGUGAUUUCCCCCAAUUCACACCAACUCCUUGUUGUUCAACUGGUUAGAGCGCCACAGUGGUGAAAAGGGCGUCCAAGGUUCGAUUCUCUAUUGUUGCAUUCCCUUUUUAAUGAUUUUAGUAUAAUAUUUUUCACCAUUUUGGAGCAAAUAGGCAUUAAAAUUGGUGCAAAAGGAAGAUUCGAACCUGUGAUCUCCAUUAGAAUAAUGGACAAUUUGACCACCAUGGUAUUUAAUGGAUGUUGACAAUGCAAAGCAACAAAAGUCUAUAUAUUCUUUUAUCCCAAUGAUAUACACCCUCCUUUUUAGAAAAAUAAAAUUCAACCAUACAGUUAAAUUAUUAAAAUAAUCAAUUUUUUUUUUAUUAAACUGAAAUUAUUAGUGGAUCGAAUCAAGAAAGUAAAUAAUUGGACAAAUUUUCAAAUUUCAAAUUGUUACUCAAUAAACAUUAUUACAAUGGUAGAUAACGUACACUCACACUUAUAAUUCAAACUACGAUAUAAGCCCUAAUUUGACCCCCAUUAAAACUUAUCAAUUUAAAUUAAAAAAAUUUCUUUUCUAUUUUCAACCACACAAUUUUCAAUAAAAUAAUAUUACACGUAAAUCGAAAACUUUUCAUUCUUUUACAACUAUCAAUUUUUAAUUUUUUCAGAAAAACAUUAUUUCCCCAUUAUAAAUCCAAAUAAUGGGGGCCAAACGGGGGCUAAGUAAUUUCAACUCACGGCAUUGGUUAUUAUUGCGACUGUCGACAGUCAACGGCCGCCCGUGCUCAAUUAAAAUCCUGGAUUCGCCACUGUUGGCCACCCCAAAUAAAUCCCACAAACUUUGUUCCAUCCAUAUACAUAUGUGGAUGAAAAAAAAAGAAGCUCUUCAAAUAUUUUAGUUCACAAUACUUUUUAGUUGAUUUUUAGAUAUGACCCACUAAUGAACAUUUCCAAUACUAGUCUAUCAAAAAGUAAUUAAAUAAUUCAACAAUGAAUAAUAACUAUAGAAAAAUAAAGACCGUUCAAUGUAUGUGAUCGACAUCAUUUUCACAUGCGGUAGUUUAUCGAAGAAAAUAAAAAGAGAUUAAUCUUGGUAGAUACCGUGCGGUGAGUCUUAUCCAACUGCUCGACAUUGAUAUUUCAGUUUGAUUCACUUAUGUUGAUUGUUUUAUAUGUUGUCCUCAUGUCUACCAAUACUUAGUUUGUGGAGCUUAUUCUAUGUUAUCAUCAACAUUAAUGUGUAGAAUUUAAAUAUCUAAUUGUCUCAAUUAUAAAUGAAUUUAAUCAUCUUCCUAUCAUAACAAACAAUUUACAUACAUAUGUAUCACAAUUUUGAGUAAAAAAUGUUAAGGGAGAACCCGAAUAAUACGUAUAAUUAUUUUUUCAUAUUCAUAGUACAUGAAAAAAAAAGAACUUUUCUACUUGUACACGGGGGUGAGAAACAAGAAAUAGAUUUUGAAAUAGACAUAUAAUUAUUUGGCUAGCUACUAAAUAUUUUCUUUUAUUUCUAUUUUCGCCAUUAUAUAAUCUUAUUAAUGCUUAGAAAUAUUAUUUUUACUAUUUACCUCCAACUAAACUGUGAUAGAAGGUUUAGAUUCACAAUCAACCGAGCAUCUAACAAAAAACAAAGCAUAUUUAUAAAUUAUUAAUAUUCAGCAGUCAAAUUAACUAAUUAAACUAAAUUAAGGGUAAAAUAUAGAAAUAAUAAUGAAAUUGUUUAAAAUGUCCACUUUUCCCUGAUGAAUGUCUAGGCACAAGAUCUCUAGGCUACUGUUUAAAAUGUCUACCGAAUAAAAAUUAUUUUUGGUCAAUUAGUGGUGUAAUUACUUGAAUGAAUUAGAAUGGAAGAUUAGCCCCUAAGCUUUAUUCUUUAAAAUUCAUAUUUAAUCACACAUUUUUAAUAAACUAAAUAUACACGAAAUUCAAAAAAAUUUCAUACUUUAUAACCAUACAUUCGUCAAAAAAUGAAUUCUGAAAAAUGGGGUUGAACAAUGGCUUAAUAUAUAUGUACAAUGCUUCCUAAUCAUAUCUAGAAGAAUAAUGAUAUUCAUCAAUAGUGUUGAUGAGGCUAUUAUAACGAAUUUUUUUUCAUAAAUUAAAAUUUAUUCCAAUUUCAUAAGAAUACUUGACAUUUAUCCACGGUCACAUAGACUGUGAUAUUUAUGAAUCGUGCUUACAAAUAACAUUACUCUGCUAUUAAUUUCAGAAUCGCCAUAGGAUAUAAAAUUGCACAUACUUAUUGUACAUUCACUUCGGCAAUCUUGAAUUACAAUUUUAACUCUAACAGCAAUUAUUGACCCGUCAAUUUUAUUGGAAAUUUGGUGCUAUUUCCAUAUUCAAACAAAAUAUCUUAUAGGAAAAUAGAGAACAAUGACAAUAAGAAGAAUACAAAUGCUGAUGUAGAAAACUUUGAAGUUGGAAAAUAAUUUAGUAAUCAUAAGAAUAAAUAUUGCACUACAAUCACAUUUAAUGCAUCUUUAACUACAAGGUUGAACAUCUUUAAGAGACUAAAUAUAAUAUAUUAAUCUCUAUUUAGAGAGUUAAAGCAUAAAAAUAAGUUUUAACAUACUUUUUUUUCUUUUUUUCUUUUCAAUAAGCUAGUUUGAGCCACAUAAUAUUUUUAAGAAUGCAUUUUUGAAUAGUACAUUGAUGAAAAAUGUGUGGUUAAAAAAUAAAGAAAAGUUUUGAAUUUGCGGGUAAUAUUAUUUUAUUGAAGAAUGUGUGACUGAAAUGAUGUCAAAUCACUACUUAAAAAUGUAUUUUUUUGAAAAAAUGUGGCUCAAAUAUAGCCAUAUUUUAAUAUUCUACUUUUUAAAUUAUUCAAUUAUAUUUGAAUUGAUUGACCAUUGACAAUAUUUUACCUUCUAAAUUUAAAGAUGCUCUUUAUUAUACAUAUGAUGAUGUAUAUAAAAAAAAGUCUCUUGAAAAGGCAUAAAAUGUGGCAAGACAUGAAAUUCAAGCCUUAAGAAAAUAGAUGUAAUAAAAUAUUUUUUUUCUUACCAUGUACGUAGUGAAAAGCAACCUACUUUCUAAUAUUUUAUUGAAAAGGUUUUUUUAUUGUAAAAUUUCUUAAAUAUGCUCGUAUGAAACAUCAAUUUUCUUACAAAUAAAGAUGGAGAUAUAUAUAGAGAGAGGGAGAAGAAGUAAAUUUUUUUGAAUUAUGGAAGAAAAGUAGUUCAAUAUGAAAGCAUGUGUUCGUUCUUUAUCUCCACACCUAUGCUUAAAUAGCAAAAUUUCAUAGUUGUCUACCAAUCUACAAACAUUGGACUUAAUUUUAAAUAAUGGCUGUAUUUGUCAAUUGAAAAUUUUACUUUUCCAUUCUAAUUCAUUAUUUAAUGAAACCAAGUGUGCCCAUGUUCUUUGAUAAAAGAAUAUAGAACUGCUAACAUUUUUCGGAAGUGCAGGUAACUCGGGCACUGCAAGCAACCCUCCUUCAUGGCUUGAUGACUGUUCAGACAGUUUCUCAAACCUUCUCAAUUUUCGCUUUCGGAAGCAAGGUACCAUUGAAUUUGAUUGCUUAUACCAUAUAUAGCACGUAAUUUGAAAAGUUGGACUUCAAAAAAUAUUGACAAGUUCUCCUUGAUAGAAAAUAAGUCGUCAUUUGCUCCCACGGGCACGGGGCAAUGAUAAAAUAGGAGGAUUCUCCAAGGAGCAUCCCGCAGCUGGAAGACAACAUUUAUGUUGGAAGGCAGAUGUCCCAUGGAGGCAAAGUUAUAAUGGGCUUUGUCCUCCUUCUGGGGUUUUGUUCGCACGUCGUAAAGGGAGGUACACAGAGAGGAGAAUCGCAUCUUGAACAUCCGACUCAAGUGUGUAUGAGCUGUGACCGCAUCCGAAUUUACCCGGGUGGGGAAUUGGAAGAAGACCGCCACUCCUCAGGAUUAGUCGGGCCAAACUCAAGCACCCCAUAAAAAAAGUCGUCAUUUGGUCAAAUGGAUACUGUUUCUUUACCUCAAAUAUUUGGAGAAAUAGACCCCUCAAUAGAAUGAAUAUAAAUAAAAAAUUAGCCAGUCCACUAGAAAUUGGCAUAUAGAGAAAACGAUGUUGCUAUUAGGACUUUUUUUUUUUUCAGAACUCUCUUCUAUGCUUUAUUCUUUUUACUCUAUUUUGGUUCUUAGCACGUAGGUUGCACAACCAUUUUACAUAAAUAAUCAUUGUUUCUUUGUCAAGCUGCAGUUCAAAUAUUGUGUACUCAGGGUAUUGUGUUGGAUUUUUAAAAUUUCUAGGGAGGAAUGUGACUAGGUGAAAUUCAGUUUUGCACCUCAUUCUCUUCAUAGUGACCUUUUUCCAUCCUUGUUGGAAAUGAUUGCUCAUAUUCUUUCAAUUCUUCCUAUAAAAUUUGCAGUUUGAACCGUCAUUCUGUUCUAGGCGCAACAAUAUUUCGACGUUUAUUACCAAUCUCGAUUUUGAGGAAAAUGCUUUGAAUGCAAGAAAUUCUGCUUAUAUGAUAUAUCAUCAUUAAGUAGUUGUACAUCAAAACAGAUUGAUAGGUUCCGUUUAAGAAAAUAUGGUUGUACAUCAAAGUAUUUCCAUCAUUCCAUGGAUUAAAUUUACAGGUGUGGCCAUUUGUAGUUGUCAUAAAAAUAUGGAAGUUGCUAUAUUCUAUUGCAAAAUAACCAUGCUAUACAUAAUUCAAAAUCAGUAGCCAGUAGUUAUAUCCCAGUACAUAGAAACAGAAUUUCAUAUAUACUUCAACAAAUAUGAAGCAAAUGAAUAGAAUGUUUUGUACAAGGAAAGAAUCACUACUAUUAAAUUAAUAAUUUUACAGACAGCCAGUCAUGAUUAUGCUCGUCUUCUUGUGCAAAUCAUGGUCUUUAAGGAAUCCAACAUACAGGUUCGUCCUGCUCGUGUCACUCUCGGGAAGUGUCGCGUUUCGACCACCUUCUGACAUGUUCUUCACAAAUUCAUCGAACUUGCGGCAAUUCUCAGCUUCGAACAAUCGUUUAUUCAUUCUUAGAUACGUAAAUGCAGCGAGUCCAUUUCCAGAAUCUGAAUGGCUAGUUCCCAACAC